AGAGUUUGAUCAUGGCUCAGAUUGAACGCUGGCGGCGUGCCUAACACAUGCAAGUCGAGCGGUAACAGGUGUAGCAAUACAUGCUGACGAGCGGCGAACGGGUGAGUAAUGCUUUGGAAUCUUCCCAGUAGUGGGGAAUAACCAGUCGAAAGAUUGGCUAAUACCGCAUACGUCUGUAAAGGGAAAGCGGGGGCUCGUAAGACCUCGCGCUAUUGGAUGAGCCAAAGUCGGAUUAGCUAGUUGGUGGGGUAAUGGCCUACCAAGGCGACAAUCCGUAGCUGGUCUGAGAGGACGACCAGCCACACCGGAACUGAGACACGGUCCGGACUCCUACGGGAGGCAGCAGUGGGGAAUAUUGGACAAUGGGGGAAACCCUGAUCCAGCGACGCCGCGUGUGUGAAGAAGGCCUGCGGGUUGUAAAGCACUUUUAGUGGGGACAAAAAGCUACGGACUAAUACUCUGUGGUCUUGAUUUAACCCAAAGAAAAAGCACCGGCUAACUCUGUGCCAGCAGCCGCGGUAAUACAGAGGGUGCGAGCGUUAAUCGGAAUUACUGGGCGUAAAGCGCGCGUAGACGGUUUUGUAAGUCAGAUGUGAAAUCCCUGGGCUCAACCUGGGAACUGCAUUUGAGACUGCAUGGCUAGAGUAUCGAAGAGGGAAGUGGAAUUUCCGGUGUAGCGGUGAAAUGCGUAGAUAUCGGAAGGAACACCAGUGGCGAAAGCGACUUCCUGGUCGAAUACUGACGUUCAUGUGCGAAAGCGUGGGGAGCAAACAGGAUUAGAUACCCUAGUAGUCC
RNAcentral lists this ribosomal RNA (795 nucleotides) under uncultured bacterium. Its description in RNAcentral is "bacterial SSU rRNA". It matches the Rfam family "Bacterial small subunit ribosomal RNA", at positions 8 to 796 of the family's 1533-position model. The record is from RNAcentral.